GUGGAGCAGGAGCAGGCAAGCCCAACGUCACGAGUGGACGUGAAUGCCAUCCUCGCGCUAUCAGUCCCUGACAGACACGUAGUAAAGCACGCUUAUCCCAGCCGGCCCUGCUGACCAGCACGGUUUAGCAUUCCCCGUCUUUUACAGUGCCCUAAUCUGGGAAUUUCACAAUGUGUCUGGUCUUCCAAACCAGGGCGCAAAUCCUUCCCGCUCCCUCCCUUUACUGGUUGACUCUGUAUUCAUCCAGUUAGCACAUGUGCCCACCCACAAAGCGACAAGUAGAACUUCACACUCUCGCACCCUGUGCUCAUUCACCAACGCCAGCCACACGCAACACUGAGUCACACCAGGAUGCUAAUAAGAGCUGCGGCUUUCUCCUCUGCUUCCUUUUUUUUUUUUUUUUUUUGAGUUAACCUUCUCUGUGAGACCUUCUUUCCAGACGUCCCCCUUGACCCGCUCUCGUCAACCCCAGCCUGAACUGAUGCCAUCCAGCCCAGCUGCGUGAGAGGAUCACCAUCUGCUUGGCCAAAUCCCUUCGCCAACUCACCCGUUCCCCAACGUGCCUCCCGUCUCAUCUCAAAGCUUCCUUCCGCUUGCACAUCAGCAGGAAGCAUCACCUGCUGAUUUACCUCACUACCUGCUGUCAGAAUUACUCUGGGUGUUUGUUUGUUUUUUUUUCCACCGGUCCUAACAAAAAAAAAAAAAUCCCAAUUUUGUUUGGUCUUGACUCGUUUGAUUGUUCCCUGGUUCCCACAGCCGAGGCUGUAUUUUAAGUGUGGACACUUAAUUCUCUCGCACAGACAACCUUGGCUACCAUUUUCUCCCUGACCCGGGCCACUGCACGACAAAGAUGCCGGCAUAAAUCAUACCACCUUUGUUGGUAUCUUGUCAGAUCUUUCAUAAUGUCCUUUUGUAGGGGGUCUGUCAUCUUUACAGCAACAUAAAACCGACAUUGUGCCAGCUUGACCUUAUACUGACUGUAGGCCCAAAAGAAAGACCAUAAAAGAUGUUAGACUACAUUAACUCCCAUUGCCGCAUUCUUCUGUCACAACCCAUUUGCCUCCGAUUUUUGCCAUUACACAGCUUAGGAAAUAUUCUUAUUAUUGUUUUUUUUUCUUUUUGUUUCAGCAGCAGCAGCUCUAUUGAGUUAGGUAACUCAAAACAGGAUGUUUCGCUGUGCAAUUACCGCUCACGAGGAAUGAUGGAGGAACAAACAGAAGCUGAAGUCACAAGGAGAAGUGAUUUCUGUUUCUCUCUGGGUGGAUGUCCAUUGUUUGACGUAAAUCUGCUUCCUGUCCUAUCACAGGACCAAAGAGACUCAGCUGACCCAUGGCUGCCACCCCUGUAUGCUUUUUUUUUCCCUCAGUGUGAUUGUAAAGUAUGAAAAGUUCAUUAUUUUCUCCAAAGCAGAUCAAGACUGGUUCAGCAAAGGUCAGCGACGAUAGUGGUCGUAGGACCCCUUUUUCAGAUGCUCAUCUGUAUUUUGAACUCCAAAGGUUGAACAUCAUCUUUUAAGGGCAUAUUUUUCCGGCAAAUUCAAUUUCUUCCGGUACCGAAA
Long non-coding RNA from Hippocampus zosterae (dwarf seahorse), 1558 nucleotides. RefSeq lists it as uncharacterized. The record is from RefSeq and is a predicted model, not a curated record. The transcript has 3 exons. NCBI's taxonomy places the organism in Eukaryota, Metazoa, Chordata, Actinopteri, Syngnathiformes, Syngnathidae.